Manis pentadactyla (Chinese pangolin) is the source of this 279-nucleotide long non-coding RNA. RefSeq lists it as uncharacterized. Lineage: Eukaryota; Metazoa; Chordata; Mammalia; Pholidota; Manidae. The transcript is spliced from 3 exons. The record is from RefSeq and is a predicted model, not a curated record.
CAGGCCUACACCCCCAGGGAGGAGGCGUGGCGUGGAGCGGUGUGCUGCCAGGAGGCAUGCUGGGACGUGUAGUCUGAAGCCCUAGAGCUGAGCCAUACACAACUUCUGGGAGGUAGCCCUGUACUGAUCUGGAGCACAGCUGGUUUGCUAUUAAGCAUAAGAUGGACCAAAUCACAGAGUUGGACAUAUCCAGGGCAUCGGGCAUUUCAGGCACUUCUUUCAUCACAGGGUUAGCAAGAGCAUUAAGAUAAGAAAAUAACAUAACUGCAAUAAACUUAA